Molecule: ribosomal RNA, 497 nt
Filed under: uncultured bacterium
Lineage: Bacteria
Description: partial 16S ribosomal RNA
Rfam family: Bacterial small subunit ribosomal RNA
Source: RNAcentral
GAUGAACGCUGGCGGCGUGCCUAAUACAUGCAAGUCGAGCGAACAGACGAGGAGCUUGCUCCUCUGACGUUAGCGGCGGACGGGUGAGUAACACGUGGAUAACCUACCUAUAAGACUGGGAUAACUUCGGGAAACCGGAGCUAAUACCGGAUAACAUGUUGAACCGCAUGGUUCAACAGUGAAAGACGGUCUUGCUGUCACUUAUAGAUGGAUCCGCGCCGCAUUAGCUAGUUGGUAAGGUAACGGCUUACCAAGGCAACGAUGCGUAGCCGACCUGAGAGGGUGAUCGGCCACACUGGAACUGAGACACGGUCCAGACUCCUACGGGAGGCAGCAGUAGGGAAUCUUCCGCAAUGGGCGAAAGCCUGACGGAGCAACGCCGCGUGAGUGAUGAAGGUCUUCGGACCGUAAAACUCUGUUAUUAGGGAAGAACAAAUGUGUAAGUAACUAUGCACGUCUUGACGGUACCUAAUCAGAAAGCCACGGCUAACUACGUG